CCUAUUGACUUUUGCUGAAAGGAGGUCUUUUAAUUUAAGUUUUGUAUCACUGGUUUUUGCAGGAUAUCCUUUGUCAAGUGUGAAGAUUUUUGAGGUUUAGUUCUAUAAAUAGAGAAACCUGGACAUGGCGUUCAAAGAAAUAGUGCUGACGUGCUUUUACAUAAGACAUCUGCCUCCGCGGGAAGCAACAAAAUGAAGGGGAAGCCAAAUGGUAGAAGAUGCAGUUCUAUUCAUCUUGAC
This 240-nucleotide long non-coding RNA is filed under the name Chrysemys picta bellii (western painted turtle). RNAcentral describes it as "lncRNA (ENSCPBG00000009882.1)". Lineage: Eukaryota; Metazoa; Chordata; Testudines; Emydidae. The record is from RNAcentral.